This 1336-nucleotide long non-coding RNA is filed under the name Oryctolagus cuniculus (rabbit). RNAcentral describes it as "lncRNA (ENSOCUG00000035927.1)". Lineage: Eukaryota; Metazoa; Chordata; Mammalia; Lagomorpha; Leporidae. The record is from RNAcentral.
AUUGCUGUAGUGUGAGCAAAAUAUAAAAUAACAUUUCUGUUGUGUUUUGGAUUUAAAGCCUUUUUAUGGACCAGUGUGGAUAUUUAUUCACCGUUCCUGCGGGCAAACAUAUUCAUGAAUGGUAACUCCAGACGCUGCAAGUAAACAUCCCUAUAUUCAGAGCAGCUAGGGAAGAUACCACCUUGCCAAUAGGAAGAGGCCAAGGCAGGGACAAAAAUCCCUCUGCAGCUGUGCCGGACACAUGGAAUAUGACCAAAGGGACCACCCGCCUUGCACCUGCCAUGGCCUCCCAAAGCAGAGGGACUCAGAGCGGGACAUUCCUGCAUAGCAAUAGAGGGCAUUCAUAACUGAGAGGUUUAUGAGCUAGAGAAUAACUGGGAUGCGUUUCCUACCCUUCCUUCCCCCACAUUAGACAUCUAAGACGGUCUCAGUGAUAGGAUCCAAAACAUAGAUGUCACCUGGCCCCAGAAAGACCACCCGUUAGUACUGCAGCAUGGCUGGCCUGUAUCUGUUCAUAUCAAAUCCACUAAUGGAAGAAAACAGGACAAGAAAAUAAAAUCUUCAGGAAUUGAGGUAGAAAUAAAUUCAAGGAUAAUUAUUCAGGAAAAAAAGGAAAAAUAGAGAGAGAAAGAAGGAAACUUCAGUGUUCAUGCUUCCACCAAAAAAUACCAGCUGCUUCCUUCAGCUUUGAUCUGACUCCACUCUCCUCCCUUUCCAGGGUUGUCUUUGCUAAUAGGAUGGAUAUGACCUUGGGCUGGAACUGAACUAUUACUAAAGGAGAUAUGAUCCGGACCUGGUCCACCUGGCAGGUGUCAAAUGAAAACAAUCAUUUGGACUUGAAGGGCUGCCUUCUGGAUUCCAGCUGUGCGUCUGAGGCUCUGAUUCACCCAGGCCUUUGGCAUCAGUGACACAGGUGCCCUUUCUGGGAGACGACUGCCGUGUGUGUGAACCUCUCCUGUAGCCCAGGACGCAAGGUCAGCUUCCGAACGCACAAAGUCCUGCUUUGACAUGAAGGAGCGCAGGAGAGGUGAGGGGCAAGGUUUGUUACAGGGCCCUGGAAUUUUUCUGCAGAGACCUGAAGGUCUGCUCUUGCGUCCAAGCCCUGGCCAGUUACGAAAUGUCUGAGCAAAAGGGUUACUUAAAGUAAAAUGUUUGGGGCAGAAGCUUGCCACAGCGGUUGAGAAGCCACCUGGGAAACCAGCAUCCCUUAUGAGAGUGUCUGGGUUUCCGUCCUGGCUCUGUUGCAAGUGCAGCUUCCUGUUAAUGUACACUCCGUGGGUCCACAGGUGACAGCUCUGCCACCAACAUGGGAGAUCAGCCCUGGCUGUUGCAGUCA